UGCUGACGAGUGGCGGACGGGUGAGUAAUGUCUGGGAAACUGCCUGAUGGAGGGGGAUAACUACUGGAAACGGUGGCUAAUACCGCAUAACGUCGCAAGACCAAAGAGGGGGACCUUCGGGCCUCUUGCCAUCAGAUGUGCCCAGAUGGGAUUAGCUUGUUGGUGAGGUAACGGCUCACCAAGGCGACGAUCCCUAGCUGGUCUGAGAGGAUGACCAGCCACACUGGAACUGAGACACGGUCCAGACUCCUACGGGAGGCAGCAGUGGGGAAUAUUGCACAAUGGGCGCAAGCCUGAUGCAGCCAUGCCGCGUGUAUGAAGAAGGCCUUCGGGUUGUAAAGUACUU
This 346-nucleotide ribosomal RNA is filed under the name Salmonella enterica subsp. enterica serovar Derby. Its description in RNAcentral is "partial 16S ribosomal RNA". It matches the Rfam family "Bacterial small subunit ribosomal RNA", at positions 86 to 435 of the family's 1533-position model. RNAcentral also lists the same sequence under 1 other name. Lineage: Bacteria; Pseudomonadati; Pseudomonadota; Gammaproteobacteria; Enterobacterales; Enterobacteriaceae. The record is from RNAcentral.